GAUGAACGCUGGCGGCGUGCUUAACACAUGCAAGUCGAACGAAGAUGCCGGAGUGCUUGCACUUUGGCAGACUGAGUGGCGGACGGGUGAGUAACGCGUGGGUAACCUGCCUUAUACAGGGGGAUAACAGUUGGAAACGACUGCUAAUACCGCAUAAGCGCACGGUAUCGCAUGAUACAGUGUGAAAAACUCCGGUGGUAUAAGAUGGACCCGCGUCUGAUUAGCUUGUUGGUGAGGUAACGGCCCACCAAGGCGACGAUCAGUAGCCGACCUGAGAGGGUGACCGGCCACAUUGGGACUGAGACACGGCCCAAACUCCUACGGGGAGGCAGCAGUGGGGAAUAUUGCACAAUGGGGGGAAACCCUGAUGCAGCGACGCCGCGUGAGCGAAGAAGUAUUCGGUAUGUAAAGCUCUAUCAGCAGGGAGAAAAAAUGACGGUACCUGACUAAGAAGCCCCGGCUAACUACGUG
This 471-nucleotide ribosomal RNA is filed under the name uncultured bacterium. RNAcentral describes it as "bacterial SSU rRNA". It matches the Rfam family "Bacterial small subunit ribosomal RNA", at positions 28 to 507 of the family's 1533-position model. The record is from RNAcentral.